AUUGAACGCUGGCGGAAUGCUUUACACAUGCAAGUCGAACGGCAGCACGGACUUCGGUCUGGUGGCGAGUGGCGAACGGGUGAGUAAUGUAUCGGAACGUGCCCAGUCGUGGGGGAUAACGUAGUGAAAAUUACGCUAAUACCGCAUACGAUCUAUGGAUGAAAGCGGGGGAUCGCAAGACCUCGCGCGAUUGGAGCGGCCGAUAUCAGAUUAGGUAGUUGGUGGGGUAAAGGCCCACCAAGCCAACGAUCUGUAGCUGGUCUGAGAGGACGACCAGCCAACCUGGAACUGAGACACGGUCCAGACUCCUACGGGAGGCAGCAGUGGGGAAUUUUGGACAAUGGGCGAAAGCCAGAUUCAGCCAUUCCGCGUGCAGGAUGAAGGCCCUCGGGUUGUAAACUGCUUUUGUACAGAACGAAAAGGUUUCUACUAAUACUAGGAGCUCAUGACGGUACUGUAAGAAUAAGCACCGGCUAACUACGUGCCAGCAGCCGCCGUAA
RNAcentral lists this ribosomal RNA (500 nucleotides) under uncultured bacterium. RNAcentral describes it as "partial 16S ribosomal RNA". It matches the Rfam family "Bacterial small subunit ribosomal RNA", at positions 30 to 523 of the family's 1533-position model. The record is from RNAcentral.